GGUUGCUUAGCAUAAAAUUCAACUUCUUAAUUGUUUGGAGGGGAAAAAAAGGCAUUUGAGAAUGAAUUUCAAGCGAAUUGAUUCAUAUCUGCAGCAUAAAUAAGAUUACGAUUACUCCAUUAGAGUUGUUGGUUAAGCAUAAACUCCAUUAAAAAACAAAAAUUCAAAAGUCUUUGUAAUAAACAUGAUUACUGCUGGACAACGGAUCACUUUGGCUCCUUUUCUUGCUUGCUAAAUAAGUCAGACCGAUUCUUCAUAUUCCACCCCUGUUGACGGGGCUGUCUUUUAUAAUAAUUGCACCCCACGUAACAGCACCAAGUGGCCACACUCUAUAAAUAAAGCUUCAAAAUUAACCUACCUCUGCUUUCUUCAGCCUCAGAAUGGCGUAAGAGCAGCAGCAGAAGUAGAUAGCUAGCCAUGGUGAGGCUGAAGA
RNAcentral lists this unclassified non-coding RNA (433 nucleotides) under Hevea brasiliensis (rubber tree). Lineage: Eukaryota; Viridiplantae; Streptophyta; Magnoliopsida; Malpighiales; Euphorbiaceae. The record is from RNAcentral.